This is a long non-coding RNA of Bombus impatiens (common eastern bumble bee), 2017 nucleotides long. RefSeq lists it as uncharacterized. The transcript has 8 exons. The record is from RefSeq and is a predicted model, not a curated record. NCBI's taxonomy places the organism in Eukaryota, Metazoa, Arthropoda, Insecta, Hymenoptera, Apidae.
CGUACGUCGUUCGAACUAAACGUAAACAAGACGAGCGUAGUUCGUCGUUCAGUUGUCCUCGAUAUUUCCUUUAGUUGCGUGUUAUUCUUCGUUACGUGCGCACGUGUUAUAAUUCCCUAAAACUAUUAAACAACCCUUAUACCUAUCGUGUCAGUGAAAAGAAAAUCUAAUAUCGAUGAUAGCAGUGUGAAGUGUGUUAUUAUUGCGGACAGUGAUUCGGCAGAUCCUUCUGAUAAUAAUAGUGAUGGUCUCACAGUACUUACUGAGGAUUAUUAUUUUUUAUUUGUAAACAAUUACCGACCCAAUAUACACAAUAACGACCCACAAUAACGACCCAAAAAUACAUUUGGAGUAAAGCGCCUCACAUUGGUGGUACUUCAGAGGUAUACUUGGAGUAGAGCGCCGCACAUCGGUGGUGCUUGAGAGAUACAUUUGGAGCGUUGGGGGUUAGAUUGACAGUAAAGUAUGAUUUUAUAAACAAUCUCGGUGAAGAAAUUGAAUAGCGCGUAAAUAGCGGAAAUAUUCUGUUACGAUCGAGAUUGUCGUAACAGCUGUGUUAUGAACGUGUUCGAAUGGCAAUAGGAAAAUGGACGCGUGUAUCCGUUUUCCCUUUAGGCUCGAGAUGGGAGGAUAUCUAAAUUGGAGGUUUAAGGAAUAAACUUCGAAGAAAAAUGUAGACGGCUUGCCAGAGAAUUUUUUUUGCGGCUAAUAAUAUAUCUACAUGUACGGACACUAGCGGGCUAUAUUAUGGGCUGUUUUUUCCUGUACUGAUAUGCUUUAAGAGCGUAUUUCAGAACUGAUGGUUCGUAGAAAUCUAUGUUUUUUUUAAAUAAUGUUUCCAAGAAGGGAAAAGAUUUGAAUACACUUGUAUCGUAUUGGACACAGUAGCAAAGUCGAGGUGUACUGGCUGUUUCCCUUUAGCCAUAUAACAUUCGCACCACUGUUAUCACCGUAUUACAGGUUUUACGAAAUAACAGCUCAAGACUCGCGUAAUGCACGUGAACAUCGGCCCAACGGCCGACGAACGAUUCAAGGAGAACUAGUAUUUCAUUGAUAACUCACCCCGUGUCCCGACCUUUACGACCACCACACUGUACGUACACUGUUGCACGCGCAUACCCGCCAGGCAACGUCCAAUGAUUUGUGUAUCGACAGUCGUCAGUAUUAAUGCCAUUUGUGUGCAAUUAUGUUAGUUAUUAUGUCAAACAACCUACCUUUUGCGGCUCGUUUCAACACGUUUUCAGCAUUACGGCAUUGCGACUUGAAAACGACGCCAGAUACCCGAUGAAAUAGCUCACGGCCAACAACACGAUUGCGUUGGGUUCCAGAUCGGAAUUAGAAGUUUGAUUUCCUUUUUCUAAAUCGCAACCAUUACUUCCACAUCUUAAAACAAGAAGACACGAUGUUUCCUUUUCCAUUUUGAGAAUUGAUCUUCAUAAAUUAGAGACAAAGAUGUUGUUGAAGUCCAUGGAAUUCGACUCAAUGGGGACACACCUUAACGUUACAUCGUAUCCAAUAAUCGAAUAUCACCAUCGACAGCGAUACAUUGGUAUUUAUACCAUUCACGUUUCCAUUUCAUCAUCACUUAAUUAUUGGAGUUACUUGAUCGUGCUUGCCAUACCGGUUGAAAUAGUAUUGAGAAGUAACGCUAGAUAACGCGCCUCUAUUGAUUUGUCAGUUGGGAUAAUGGAUUUCAAUGCAUAACACAGAAUCCCAUGGAACGCGAGCGUGUGGUUGCCAGCCACAGAUUAAUACGGCUAUCGCGGAACGACAGGUAUUCCAUAUGUAUCUGGUAUUUCGUAAAUGUUAAUAUAACUUGAUCGUAUCCCGAUGCGAAUGUAAAUGCGCCGGACAUGGUGCAGUCUCUUAACCCUUAAAUGCAUACUGUCUCUAUUUGGCAUAUUUAAAUGGCCUUUGUUAUAUAGGUAACGUGUAAUACUUAUUGCAUGGUGUUUUCGAAUGUAUUUAUUACUAUUUUUAUACUAUUAAUAUGUUCAUAAUGCAGAAAGAAAUUUAA